UACAGAGGGUGCAAGCGUUAAUCGGAAUUACUGGGCGUAAAGCGCGCGUAGGCGGCAUGUUAAGUCGGAUGUGAAAUCCCUGAGCUCAACUUAGGAAUGGCAUCCGAUACUGGCACGCUAGAGUGUGGGAGAGGAAGGUAGAAUUCCAGGUGUAGCGGUGAAAUGCGUAGAGAUCUGGAGGAAUACCGAUGGCGAAGGCAGCCUUCUGGCCUGACACUGACGCUGAGGUGCGAAAGCAUGGGGAGCAAACAGG
Molecule: ribosomal RNA, 253 nt
Filed under: uncultured bacterium
Lineage: Bacteria
Description: partial 16S ribosomal RNA
Rfam family: Bacterial small subunit ribosomal RNA
Source: RNAcentral